GAUCAAAUCCAAGCUGCAGUUGGAACCUAUGCCGCAGCUGCAGCAACAAUGCAUCCUUUAAGCCACUGUGCUGUGUUGGGGGAUUGAUCCUGUAUCCUGGCACUGCAGAGAUGUCACUGAUCCCACUGCACCACAGCAGAAACUCCUAAAAAAUGUCUCUUUAUAAGACAGUUUUUGUUUGCUUUUAGCCACUCUUUAAGUGAAAGCAAUAAAACUAAAAGGAAGGGGUACAUUUUCUGUUCCUAAGGGACCUCAUUUUUUUGGGCAUAUCACAGAACAGCCUUCAGUGUAAGUUGUUAAUGAAAAGUCCAGUGGUGCAAAAAGACAAACUAAGGAGUAGUCUGCUAUGGGAAACUCAAGUCAAAAUUGGUUACAUCCAGAAAAGAGUUGGUUUUCAUUUUGCUUGGUUAGGGAAAGAAAGAAAAAAAUUGCUAAUCCAAUCCUUAAGCUCAAUUGCUAAUACUUAUAUUGUAAAAGCAUUAAUUAUCUAGGUAGAAAUUUGCAAUAAAUAUAUAUGUAAUCAUGAUAUUUUAUGUAACUGAAAUCUAAUUUUGAAUUAUUUUUCUAUUUAUUGCCAAAUAAGAAACAUGGUAAAUGAAAGGAUAGCACCUUUUUAAAAUACAGCCUUGUGGAUUUUUUUUUUUUAAAUCGGUUCAUACCAUUGGAAAUGUGAGAAUAAAAAUAAGGUUUCUUACUUUACAGUUGUUUUCUUUGCUCAUUUCAUGUCCUUGAAAGCAGAAUUGCUUUUUCAUGAAUAGUGAAGACACAGGACACAAUGAAAUACAAGUGCUAUGUAGAGACAUAGCCUCAUUUAACAACUAGCUACUAUAAAAAUAAAUUAUACUGUAUGACUCAGGUAAGUUGUUAAUAAUUUUACUUUGUUUACAUUAUGCUUAGAAAGCAACAUAGCUUAAUGAGAUCAGAUAUUAAGGUAACAGUGUAUCUUAAGAGUCAUAAGGUUUUCAAGCUCUGCCAAAACCGUAGGCAGUUUGGAUGCGGGUAGUUUUUACUGAUAGUGUUUUCAAAAGAGGAAAUGAAUAAGGCCCUGCUUGGUACAGAAGUUAUGCAUUCAUUACCUAGGAAAGAGUAUUAAGUACACACAAAUUACUGAGUUGCUUUCAAAGGACACAAAUAACCUAAAUACAGAAAAGUUCAAGAACUGUAGAGGAAUUUUUAAGAAAUAUGAAUAAUAAUCACUAGCAUAAAAACCUAUAGGAAGCCCAUAAUAAUAAAUGACCAAGUAUCCAAUAAUCAUGUGGUCAAGUUCUAAAGCAGGUGAGCACUGUUUAGAAUAUCCAUUUUCUACAAAAUAAAAUUUCUUCCUAUUCCCUGAACUCUUUGGAUGAAUCAGGGGGUUAGUGGGCCACAGUCAGUUUUUCACUUUUAUGAUUCAGAAAAACAUUAUGCUUCUUAACCUUGGAGCUGCAUAUUUGAUUUUUUAAAUAAUUGUGAUGUUCAAGUAGAUACCACUCACUCUCAUUCACUGUUUAUUAAGGGCAUGAUUGAUUGUGGAUGUGCAAGAGCAAUUUCUCACUGUCUUCAUGAAAAAUGCAGGAGUAAAAGUUACUGGCUAUAAUUUUAGUUGCCAUAAACCUGAUGUCUCUAACAUGUAACACUUAAUUAGAGCACAAUCAUCCCAGCACAGCACAAUAUCUAACAGCAUAUUCUUUGCAGAAUUUUUUGCAGGUUUGUUUUUUUGCUUUUUCAAAAUCAACGAGGUAUUAUUUCUUCUCUCCCCAUACAUGCAAGUGUUGAAAAAUGCCAAAAAUAUAAAUAAAUAAAAUAAAUAAAAAGAAGCAAUCCCAAACACCCACUUUGCCAAAUCAGUGAGAAGGCGGGAUCUGUGAAAUGUAGAAAUUAUCCUUUUGCACCAGUAGAACACAUCAGCUGUAUGUGCACAGCUGCCACGUCAAGCAAAUGCACUUUUUCUAAAGGAAAGGUACAGCAUGUGUCAGUACAUUCAGCUUUACAUAAAAAUAAAUACAUUUCAAAAGAAGUAAGACAAGGGCAACAAGAAAAACAUUUUGCAAAGCUUAGUGCUAACUACUGAGGAGAUGACGGGAUGCCAUGCUGUUCUUACAUCCAGAAAGUGACAGAAUAUCUAGGGAUGGAGAGAAUACACACAGUACAAUUUAAAUUAGACCUGCAUCCAGAAAGGCACUGCCUACCUUGAAGAUGAUACUGUCAGAGGAGUAUAAACUGGCAAAAUCUGGGGCUGUAAGAUGUGUGUGAAGGUUAUUAAACCAUAUUACCUCCCAAUUUUUCUAUGAAACUAAUUCAAGUUAAAGGAGCAAAGUGAGUGUUAUGGUGGUCAGUCUAUCAUCCCUUCAAUUCCUAUCUUGCUACUGAUGACAGAAGUCUCAGAGAAAUAAAUUUAUAGGCUAUCUCUUCUAUUCAAUAAAGAACAGUGUUUAUUUUGGUUAUUUUUGCUACUUAACAAAUAACCUCAGGAAGUUGGUGGCUUAAAGCAACAACCAUGAUAUCAUAAUCUCAUAGUUUCUGUGGGUCACAAAUCUGGAAUGGGCUCGGUUAAGUGGAUCUAGCUUGAGGUCUUUUACAUGGUUAUAGACAUUUAGUAGCUGGUACUAAAACAGCGGUAUGAAGCAGCUGCUGACUGGCCAGGCAUGUCUCUCCCUAUUUAUCUCUCUAUCUCUCAUCUAUUUAUCAUCUUCAUAUAGUAUCAGGCCCGUCCUGGUGGCUAAUUUGGACUUCCUCACAGUAAGCAACCUCACGGCAGCCUGACUACCUCUAUGGUGGCUCAGGACUCAGUAUAGAGUGUUCCAUCAAACCAUGUGGAAGAUACAACUUUUUUGUUUUUCUGACUUGGCUCAGAGUCACAGAAAUCUCUACCACAUUUCAUUGGUUAUAAGAAGAGAGGAUAACUAGACUUCACAUGAUAUGGGAGUGACAAGGUUUAGAAGAUCUUGUGGGAACAGACAUUGGGAUGGCCAUCUUUGGAAAAAAAACUGUCUUUUACUCUGAAAGGGUUAUUAUUCUCUGAAAAGGUUAUGUGAUAUUUUGAAUAAAAUUAAAUAUACUCUUUGCUACUAGAUGACCAAGGAUAAAUUAUUGUAGUAAAAAAUAAAAAUAAUAAAAGAAACCUAGUAAUCUCUAGAUUCCAUGAGGCAAGAUAUAUUAUUUGUUAGUGAUACUUCCAUGGAAAUUCUAGCAGUUUCUCUCACCACUAUUUCUUCUACCUCAGGCCUGCCAGAAGGUCUGGAAUUAUACCUUUAGCUGAACAGAUUCAUUUUUAUUACAAGGAUCCAAAAAACAGUGGGAAUAACAGAAACUGAAGGCCUUUUGGCUCAGGUGAGGAAAGAGAGAAAGCUGAUGUCAACACUAAACUGACAGGGGAUAAACUCUCUUACACCAGUCUGGUAAUCUCUCUUACUGUCACUUUCCCCUUCUGUGAAAUAGAAAGGAGCACUCCUGACAAAACAAUGGUGAAGUAAAGCCAAGAAAAAUACUUGGGAAACAAUUCGCAAAUACAUGGGUCCAUUUGAAUGCCAACCAGAAGAUACAAUUAUAACUCCUGGGUUGGAUAGCCUACCUGUCUACGGCAUGGCCUUUGUCUCUGGACCAUGGACCUGUCACCAAGACUCCUGGUGUGAAUUUUUUUUUUUCCUCUAGUGAGGAUGGAUUUCUGCUAAGCUACCCACAUUCCUACCUGGUCUUCCUCUCCAGCAGUGGAAUGUCCUUGUUUGGUGGCUGGCAGGGUGAGCUAAAUCUCUACUAAGAGGAAUAAACUACUUUGAAUUUCCUGACAAUUUGGCCCAUCAAUAGCAAAUUUUCACCAAGUGAGAACAAGAAAUCUGAUCACAAAGGUCUGCAAAACCUUCUAGGCAAAGGCCUACUGAAAUCUGAUAUAAACUUGAGAUUCAGCAGUACGAAGGCACUCGCAUACUUGAAAGCAGAAGCAAGAAUGUGGUAGUGAAAGGAAUAUUUAGUCCACAGGAAUCAGAAGCUUACCUUAAAAGGGUAACUUUAAAGGACAAAGAUUGUUUCACUACUUGGGAGUCAGUGAAAUCUCAUCCUCUGUAUAAGGACUUGGUAGUGGUCAAUUUUCAUUGGGUUAACUCACUGAUGAUGGUACUACAGAAUAUCUGAGUUGGAACUCACCUCUUCAAGAUUAUUAGGGCUGCAAACUGAAGCUCUUCUGAACAUGAUCUUCUGAGUUGAACACUGCUCCUAAAUUCCAAAUCUAUGAGAUAUUUAAAACAUAUAUUGCAAGGUUUCAGAGGCAGGUUGUUUUCAGCUUUAUGCUGAAAGGAUAGGAAAGGUAAUACUUCUUGGUGUUUAGAUAAAGAUGACCAUUUAUCCUUGACCUUCUCAGAUCCCUUUCCAUUCCUAUUAAAUUCCUGACUUUUAAGAUAUUGAGAAGGAAUCAAACCCCAACUGAUCUUUAAAAAGGAGAUUAGAGAUAUAGCAAUUAUUGCCCAGAUAAGGAGAUAAGAAAAGUUUCUAACAAUCCUUUAAGUCAAACUAUUUACUUGCAAGAAGCUCACCUGUAUGGCAAGCACAGCUUGGUGCUUUUGUAAAGUCCUCUAGCUCUCUUCUAAAAGAAGCUGUAUUUAAGUAAUCAUCCAUUUAUACCAUUUAUACCGGCAGAUAACUGCACACCAAGCAACACUUUGUUCUUCUCUGAGAAAAUUUGAAAGAAAGAUUUUCCUAAAAUGGGAUUUCGGUGAUAUUUUGAGUUAAACACAGUGCUUCUAUUGUUUCUAUAAUUUAGCAUCUAUACUACCAGUGAGCAAAGAAAAGCAAGGAUUUUGGAGACUUUCAUGAGGCAGAUAAUAUACAUGGUAUUCACACUCUUGCAUUGUUCCUAGUGAAAAACUUCCACUGGGCUAAUUAGUCUUGGAAAGAAUUUCAACUGUAUGUACCAUGCUGUUGAAAACUGGGCAUAAGAAAAAGUAAGCCACCCCUUGAAUAAAUAUUUCAUGGAUUCAAGAUGCAUCAAGGAUGCAUAACCCCAGACUGAAAGAUUGAGUUGCUCUGGAUAUGAAAAUUGAUAUAAGAUGUAGGACUCAAACUAAAAACCUGCUUGACUUCUACUUAGCAAUUGCUUACUGUGGUUUCUCAAUGUGAGCUUUGUAUAAACAGAUUAACUUUGUUUUCUAAGUGUUUCUAAAGAGCCUGGAAACUAAGAAUCAAGUACUGCUUCUGCCCAGCCCUCAAAAACCAACAAACUCUUCCCCACACUCAACACCUGUUGUCAAAAAUAUACCACACAGCGGUCUUCAUCUUCUAUGCCAACAGAUGUGAAGAUGCCCGGAGGUCCCUCAGAAGUCUGUGCUUCUGAAUCUCCUGGGGGCACCAGGAAGGGGAGAGAAAAUGGUUCCGGAAUUCCAAAGGUCACUGCUGGAUCGAAAUAAUGAAAAUUGCCCACAUGUUAGAAAAAACUCAGAUGUGAUUACUGGAAAGUCUGGCAAUCAGACCAAGAACUAAGUAGGCUAGAGUUUCAUUUAUACUUUAAAAAGAGAGAAAGAAAAAGAAAGUGUGCCAUGGUGAGAAAAAUAAUUAUUAUGUUCUUCAGCCUUCAGGCUACCACAAUUAACAAGUUUAAACAGAAAAUAGAAGAAACCUUUACCUGUACCAAAAGGGAUCAAAUAUGAGAGGUCACACCUACACACAAUCGCUAAUUUCUGAAAAUAAAUGUAAGAAUUUAAGAGAUUGAAGAGAGUGGAAAUUAGAGUUGUUUUUGUUUUGUUUAUACAAAAAAGGAAGACCACAAAAUAUAUUUGAAUUUUCUUUCAAGGCACUUAUUGUAUCUGAUAGUCAUUUCCUUAUAACUAUUUUAUUCUAAGGACAGCUUUUCUUUCUAAUGUAUUUCUCCCUACUCCUUACUUGAAGGUACUAGAACUCUGUGUGGUAAUGUAUCGUGAUUAUAUAUGUAAAAAGAUGCACUUUCUGCAUAAAAUAAAUUUGAUGAUU
RNAcentral lists this long non-coding RNA (5934 nucleotides) under Sus scrofa (pig). RNAcentral's name for it is "lncRNA (ENSSSCG00000059154.1)". The record is from RNAcentral. Lineage: Eukaryota; Metazoa; Chordata; Mammalia; Artiodactyla; Suidae.